This 478-nucleotide long non-coding RNA is filed under the name Salmo salar (Atlantic salmon). RNAcentral's name for it is "lncRNA (ENSSSAG00000108173.1)". The record is from RNAcentral. Lineage: Eukaryota; Metazoa; Chordata; Actinopteri; Salmoniformes; Salmonidae.
GUCCACGAGAGGACUCCAUGUUUUUCUUUCAGUCUUUGAAUGAAUACAACGUUGUCUGGUUGGAAUAUUAUCGCUACUUUACGAGAAAAAUCGCAUAAAAAUUGAUUUUAAACAGCGUUUGACAUGCUUCGAAGUACGGUAAUGGAAUAUUUUGCAUUUUUUUGUCACGAAAUGCGCUCGCGCGUCACCCUUCGGAUUGUGACCUGAACGCACGAACAAAACGGAGCUAUUUCAAUAUAACUAUGGAUUAUUUGGAACCAAAACAACAUUUGUUGUUGAAGUAUAAGUCCUGGGAGUGCAUUCUGACGAAGAACAGCAAAGGUGUACCGAGCUGCGGCUAACGAUGGUGGGCAUGGCUGUAGCUGAUUACAGAGAGGAUAUCUGUUUUGCCGUGUGAGAAGAGAAGAGAGGAGGGGGAGAGAGAGAGAGGACACUUGUUUUUUGUUUGAUUAUUUGUGUUAAUUUCCUUGUGUUUCAG